RNAcentral lists this unclassified non-coding RNA (164 nucleotides) under soil metagenome. Its description in RNAcentral is "partial internal transcribed spacer 1". The record is from RNAcentral.
CAGAGUUGCAAAACUCCCUAAACCAUUGUGAACGUUACCUAAACCGUUGCCUCGGCGGUCACGCCCCGGCGCCCCCGUGCCCGGAACCAGGCGCCCGCCGGAGGACCAUCAAACUAUUGUUGUAUCUAGUGGCAUUGUCUGAGUGGCGUAAAGCAAAUCAAUCA